GGGGUCAUAGCUCAGUUGGUAGAGCACCUGCUUUGCAAGCAGGGGGUCGUCAGUUCGAGUCUGACUGGCUCCACCA
This 76-nucleotide transfer RNA is filed under the name Alphaproteobacteria bacterium. Its description in RNAcentral is "tRNA-Ala". It matches the Rfam family "tRNA". Rfam says of the family: Transfer RNA (tRNA) molecules are approximately 80 nucleotides in length. Their secondary structure includes four short double-helical elements and three loops (D, anti-codon, and T loops). The record is from RNAcentral. Lineage: Bacteria; Pseudomonadati; Pseudomonadota; Alphaproteobacteria.